This 252-nucleotide ribosomal RNA is filed under the name uncultured bacterium. RNAcentral's name for it is "partial 16S ribosomal RNA". It matches the Rfam family "Bacterial small subunit ribosomal RNA", at positions 524 to 776 of the family's 1533-position model. The record is from RNAcentral.
UACGGAGGAUGCGAGCGUUAUCCGGAUUUAUUGGGUUUAAAGGGUGCGUAGGCGGACGGUCAAGUCAGCGGUAAAAAUGCGGUGCUCAACGCCGUACAGCCGUUGAAACUGGCAGUCUUGAGUGGGCGAGAAGUAUGCGGAAUGCGUGGUGUAGCGGUGAAAUGCAUAGAUAUCACGCAGAACUUCGAUUGCGAAGGCAGCAUACCGGCGCCCUACUGACGCUGAGGCACGAGAGCGUGGGUAUCAAACAGG